RNAcentral lists this long non-coding RNA (552 nucleotides) under Numida meleagris (helmeted guineafowl). RNAcentral describes it as "lncRNA (ENSNMEG00000008211.1)". The record is from RNAcentral. Lineage: Eukaryota; Metazoa; Chordata; Aves; Galliformes; Numididae.
AGCAGCCUCCCUGAAUCAUCUGACAGGAUGGUGAUGCCACCUGCCAAUGGUGAGAAGGUGGCUGAGGGAGUGAACAAGAAGGGAGCCUCCAGAGCUGCAGGAUGGGGCCUGGCCACCUCCUGUGCUCAGGGUGGAGGGACCCUCAGGGCCCCAUCAGCUGGAGUUUCACCUUCUUUUUCCUCUCCCUGCAAACCUACUGCCUCCCCAAGGGGCAGCUGCUGGUGGGCAAGGGCAAAUACACAAAGAUGCACAUUGACUCUAGUGACCUUCCCAGUCCCGGAGAAGUCAGCUGAGCCUUGCUGUGCCCUUGGAAAUGAAUACUUUGGCUUCAUUUUGCAGGUGCUGACAGGGAACGAUUACGGGUUGGAGAGGAUGCAAACCAGGCCACCCGUGCCCACUGGAGUGGAUAAUGUUCUGAGUCUUGUCUCAAGCAGGCGGUCAUGCUGCCUCUCGGAGGCAGAUGAAGCAUCACCAUCUACUGGCGGCCGAAAGGAUAACGGCAAAAAAAUGCAGCAGGUAAUGAAAUGUAGGAAUGGGCUGUGCUUUUGCUAG